This 273-nucleotide ribosomal RNA is filed under the name uncultured bacterium. Its description in RNAcentral is "partial 16S ribosomal RNA". It matches the Rfam family "Bacterial small subunit ribosomal RNA", at positions 524 to 796 of the family's 1533-position model. The record is from RNAcentral.
UACGGAGGGUGCAAGCGUUAUCCGGAAUCACUGGGCGUAAAGGGCGCGUAGGCGGUCUGUUAAGUCCGAUGUUAAAGACCGGGGCUCAACCCCGACAUGGCGUUGGAUACUGGCAGGCUAGACGACUGGAGAGGAAAGUAGAAUUACCAGUGUAGCGGUGAAAUGCGUAGAUACUGGUAGGAAUACCCAUUGCGAAGGCAGCUUUCUGGACAGUCCGUGACGCUGAGGCGCGAAAGUGUGGGGAGCAAACCGGAUUAGAAACCCCCGUAGUCC